This 442-nucleotide ribosomal RNA is filed under the name uncultured bacterium. Its description in RNAcentral is "bacterial SSU rRNA". It matches the Rfam family "Bacterial small subunit ribosomal RNA", at positions 29 to 461 of the family's 1533-position model. The record is from RNAcentral.
AACGAACGCUGGCGGCGCGCCUAAUACAUGCAAGUCGAGCGAGAAGACGUAGCAAUACGUUUGUAAAGCGGCGAACGGGUGAGGAAUACAUGGGUAACCUACCCUCGAGUGGGGAAUAACUAGCCGAAAGGUUAGCUAAUACCGCGUACGCUCCUUGGACUUCGGUUCAGGGAGGAAAGCGAUACCGUGGGUAUCGCGCUCUUGGAUGGGCUCAUGUCCUAUCAGCUUGUUGGUGAGGUAACGGCUCACCAAGGCUUCGACGGGUAGCUGGUCUGAGAGGACGAUCAGCCACACUGGCACUGCGACACGGGCCAGACUCCUACGGGAGGCAGCAGUAAGGAAUAUUGCUCAAUGGCCGAAAGGCUGAAGCAGCAACGCCGCGUGGAGGAUGAAAUACUUUUGUAUGUAAACUCCUGUAAGAAGGGAAAAUAUGCAGUUAUUC